AGGACGAACGCUGGCGGCGUGCCUAACACAUGCAAGUCGAACGAGGUCCAUCCGGUAGCAAUACUGGUGAAGAUCAAGUGGCGAACGGGUGAGUAGUACGUGAGCAACCUGCCCCGAAGACCGGGACAACACCGGGAAACCGGUGCUAAUACCGGAUAUCCCCACCGAGUCGCAUGACUUGGUGAGGAAAUGGAUUCCGCUUUGGGAGGGGCUCGCGGCCUAUCAGCUUGUUGGUGAGGUAACGGCUCACCAAGGCUUCGACGGGUAGCUGGUCUGAGAGGACGAUCAGCCACACUGGGACUGAGACACGGCCCAGACUCCUACGGGAGGCAGCAGUGGGGAAUCUUGCACAAUGGGCGAAAGCCUGAUGCAGCAACGCCGCGUGAGGGACGAAGGCUUUCUGAGUUGUAAACCUCUUUCAGCAGGGACGAUUGUGACGGUACCUGGCAGAAGAAGCCCCGGCAACUACGUGCCAGCAGCCGCGGUAA
Molecule: ribosomal RNA, 488 nt
Filed under: uncultured bacterium
Lineage: Bacteria
Description: SSU rRNA
Rfam family: Bacterial small subunit ribosomal RNA
Source: RNAcentral